GUGAUAAAGAGUCGUACAAAAACCUCUGUCAGUCAGACGUCACAGUGACUGCACUGAUACAGCUGAGAGAAACUGCAGCUGCUGAUGGAGGAUCACACACUACACAAUAUCAAUGUCUAGCAAACUUUAUAAAGACUUUAAAGGCUUUUUCCAGUUACGAUAACCCUCGAAUGAGGUGAAAACUGUCAUUGGAGCAUCGGGGAGGAAAAAUGGCCACCAGCAAAGCAGUAACGGCAUCUUUCGAGUGCGAGUAAUCUAACCAGGGAUGAGAUUUGAACCAGUCGCUUCUGCUGGAGGGUCUUAGGGAAACUGUUGCCCAUUCGCUGCACUACAAUCGCUUUCCGGACCCACACCUGAGGGCACACAGAGCCUGAGAACGAGAGCCUGAGUCGAUGCACUGCCGUGCUGUCUGUCGUAGGAGCUUUUGCAGUCCACCCCGGGAAUCAGAAGCGCUCCGCCUUUGUAACUAAUCUGUCUGUGUUUCGUGAAGCUAUCCGGUACUUGUUGACCGACCUACUAAAUAAACAUACCCCUAUUUUUGACACGA
Non-coding RNA from Pimephales promelas (fathead minnow), 547 nucleotides. Lineage: Eukaryota; Metazoa; Chordata; Actinopteri; Cypriniformes; Leuciscidae. The record is from RefSeq and is a predicted model, not a curated record.